CCGAAUGCAAGCAGCACUCCAGCCAUCGAGGAGAAACAAAACCAGACUCGAGUUAAGCGGUAAGGGGAGGUCUAGGGAAGAGCCCAGUGUGGACAGAACGCCACUCGGCUGGACACAAGGCAGGGUGGAGGACCAAGGAGGUGCUGAGAAGGUGAAAGGGGUUCGUCCCUGUGAUCUGGCCUUCAGGGUGCGCUAAUUGGUGCUUAUCCAGAGGAAAACCAGGAUGCAGCGAUGCAAAUUGGACCCUCUGCCCACCAGGCUGGGAGAAAGAAUCUUGGUGGAGGACAGAUCACUACCCAGCAAGCGCCCCUGGCCAGAACAGUGAGCUUCAAAUCCUGGAGGAGGAGCCUUUGUGUCUGUUGACCCAUCCAUCAGCCAAACAAGAUGGAGAAUCCAGGAGCACAGUGUCCUUGUUACCAGCAUCCUGAAGGCCCCGCACGGUGAGGCUGUGGAACUCUUCCAAUUCCCAGGACCAGCAGGAGGCAUUUGCUCAGUGACACGGCCACCCCUCCCCAUGAUGUCAUUACCUAAGGUCUUUCCUCAACAGCCUCUGUGUGUCCAAACACUUGUGGCUAACCCCAGCCUGCACCUGACCUAGGGAGGAACCCCUGGCUGCUGGGUCACGGUAAUCAUCUGAUCUGCAGAGAGACAGGCAGCCCCGUGAUGACACCUGCCCAGAUCCUCCUCCUUUUCCACCUGCCGCCACAGGAAUUUCUUUACCUCAACUUAUCAAGGUCUUCAUAGCUUCGACGUUGGACUAGAAAAGAAAGGGAGUCAGAUAAAGGUUGGAUCUCACUACCACACUCUCAGGGAUGUGCUCAGAUCUUUAACAAACACUGGGGAGAGGAGAUCAUUUCUUGAGAAGUCCUGUCCUCGACACUGAUGGCAGCUGUGCGGAUUAGGUCAGAGGAUGGCGCGGGUGUGCUCAGGUGAGGCGGACAGCCUGGCCUCGUGCUCUCCUGUUCCCCCGUGGAGGAGCAGCGUGACUAGAAUGGGUGGUUCUCCAAGAAACCUGGGAAGACCAGACUUUUCUCAGCUCUCGAUGGACUCUUUCUCCCUACCAAAGGGGAUGCCCUGUACAAGUGAGAAAUAAGCCUAGAAAAUUCUUACAACUUUUGUGUGAUGUUUUAGGACUUGCUUUGGGGGCUCAAAGUACAGAACGCAGGGGAUUCGUCACCCCUGCAACCCCACAUCUCCUGGGCAUCAGCAGCCGGGGCUCCUGGGCUCUUGGUGCUGCCGCUGAGCAUUCUCCUCCUGCUAAUAUUUUCUAUUUACUGUUAAUUGGAUAUUUGAAAUAAGCAUCAUUUGAAAUAUCUUCCCCUGAGUUUGGUAGUGAGACAUUUACUGCCUCCAUGGGCCCCCCCCUCCCCGGAGCAGCCCUGAGGCGGAGAGGAAGAGGCCCUAAUUCCACGCUUCAGGCUAACUCUCCACACGGAAACAUGCGGAACCCCUGGAGAACAGGGCCAAAGCUGUGCGUCUGGAGGAGCCUUAGCCACGGGCCCAGCCCUCUCUGUGGAGCGUUGCCCUUCACGGCGGUGAUGCGCCUCAGUCUGUGUGUUAACAGGCACCAAUUGAUAUUCAGAAAGAUGUUCCCGAACAUCUUCAGGGAUACUUUGAGAAGCCUUACUUUCUCUCCAAUGCUCGUCUAUCACGCUCCCUUUGUGUGAUAAACAUUUUUAUAAUCAGAAAAGCAAAACUAUUUUAAUCUUGGGGGAAAGUAUGGUUAGGUCUGUUGAGAGCUCUAAGUGUAUUAAAAAUGCAGAGUCACAUUCUCUUAUGCCACCCCAAGCAAGAGACACUGUCACCCAAACAUUUUAGAUGAGCGUGGAGGAACAGUUACCUCCAAGCUCCGGGGUCCGGGGUCCAAGCCCAUCUUUACAGGGAGAGAUUUGCCAGGGUGGCUCAAGAACACUACAAAGAUAUGUUCUAGAUCACCUAGAAAUUCCCCUCUUAGAAAUUUAUACUAAGAGAAAACAACUAGACAGAUGUGCAAAUAUACAGUCAGACAUGUUCACCAGAGAUGUGUGGUAAGAAUAUUCUUAAGAUGCAAACAAUCAUGGCAAAUGAACUAAAUAAAAGAAGGUGCACCACAUAAUUAAAUACUAUGUGAUCAAUAAAGUAAUGGUAUAAAGGUACGUUUUUUAAAAAAUCUGGAACGUGUUCACAGCACCGUUAUGUGUAAAGCAAGUUACAAAAGUUCAUGUGUCCUGUGAACUUAUUUCAAGAUACUCUACGCAUUUGUAAAUUUACUUUUUUCUCUUUGCUUAUCUGUGCUUUCUAAUUUUUCUAUAGUCAAUACAACUUACUCAUGUGAUUAAAAUUAAAUAUCAGAAAGAAUAUUAAUUAGAGAUGUUCAGAUAUGCAAAGUAGUUCGUGUGACCUCAUGCACAUGCAUACACGCGCACACACACACACGCACACACAUACACACACACACACCCUAUACUACAGGUGGUUACUUGCUCCAGGUUCUAGUAAAAUCUAGACUAUAUAAUCUGGCAUUAGCUUCUAGUUGUCUCACUGCUGCUAUAGAAGCCGGUACAUAAAGUUGAUUUCCUCCAGGUCACCUCUCACCUGUACUGCUCAUUCAGUCACCAAUCAGCUACCUUUGUCUGCAAUUCUGAGAACUCCUGCACGGUCAAGAUAGAUUUUCUCAUUUCUUUCAAAAAGCUUCUUAAUUGAGACUUACAACCUGAGGACCAGAGCAAUGGAGAAGGAGGUUUUCUCUAGCUAUUUAGUUUUCUUUUCAAUAAGUGCUUCCCACCGCAACGUUCUCAGGUGAGUGAGGGUUUUCUAUGUGUAAGGAGAGAAAGGGGAAGUUUUGUUUUAAAAAAAUCCCAUUCUGGGACAGAAUGUCUUAAGCUUCCAGUUUGAGUGACUGAGUCAUUCCCAUUAAAACAAACUGUAAUUUUCACUGGAAUAGAAAUCGUGAUUUACCACAUCCCUUUGUGUAGAAGAUUGCAUUUCACAGCCAAGAAGAUCACAAGUGACAAAAGAUGAAAAUUCUCGCCAGUACCAUUUAUGAUGAAAAUGCCGAUUUCCUUCUAGCCUUCAUAGAGCAAAUAAAAGACGUCACUGUUGGGUGAUAUGUCCUGUAAGAGAAAUCCCAGGGACACAUGCCUAAGAGAGGGCAUGGAGAGGCAGGGACAAAAGAAGACUGACAAAUACAGAGAGUAAUGUUUUGCCUUUUCUUAAUCCUGAUUACUCAAAAUUUUGUCCCUUGGGGUUGAGGUGACCUGAACUCUGUGGGUACAGUAAGUCCAUUUUCUCACUUAGUGUUUUGUACCACGUGUUUCUCAAAGACUUGUGAUCUUCAAGUGGUUUUUUUCUUUUACAAUCUGUAGUCUUCUUUGGGAGCUCUGAAGAGCUGGACAGCAAGAGGGAAAGGAUUUAAAUAAUGAACACAUUAGCACUUGUUAUUUUGUGUCAGUACUGAUGCCUGGGUAUUUUUUUUAUAUCAUUUAGCUAAAUUCACCAUAAAAUGUUUUUAAAGAUUUGAGAUUCAAGAUAAAAUUAGUAUUUCUCUAAUGAGAAUAUCGCCAAUGUAAAAAUAAGAUAGUUAAAAAGGAAACUGCAAUUUCCCCUAAAGUCUUAAAGUAGAAAAUCUGUGUUAAGCUAACCAUCAUUAAAAAAGUGUUUGAAUAAAACUGUUUAGUCCAAAAAGGUUGAUAAAAAUGCUAGUUCUUAUCUUCAGAUUUAAGCGAUUGUAUUCUAUUUAAAAAUGAAAACACGGAUGUAUUAGUUAACAGGGCCACGCACAACUCAGACAAACACUACUUUUAAUUUGACAUGCUUGGUACUAGCACUUGGGGUGAUUUUAAAAAUCUGGUUAAUGGGGGGCCUCCCCUGGUGGCGCAGCGGUUGAGCGCGGGGCUGCGAAACUGCCCGCAGCCUCUGCAGCACCGGUUUGAUCCCCGGCCACCAGGGAGGGUCCCACAUGGCACGUAGACCUCUCCUGCCGCCCGCUGCUCCCCUCAGCAGUGUAUUUCUUCAGUCUGCCUGUUCUGCUCCCCGCUCUGGCUCUGGUGAAUUCUCUUGCCCUCCCGCGCUUCUGA
Long non-coding RNA from Talpa occidentalis (Iberian mole), 4055 nucleotides. RefSeq lists it as uncharacterized. Lineage: Eukaryota; Metazoa; Chordata; Mammalia; Eulipotyphla; Talpidae. The record is from RefSeq and is a predicted model, not a curated record. The transcript has 3 exons.